GGCGGGUGCUUACCAUGCAGUCGAACGAUGAUGCCCAGCUUGCUGGGCGGAUUAGUGGCGAACGGGUGAGUAAUACGUGAGUAACCUGCCCUUGACUCUGGGAUAAGCCUGGGAAACUGGGUCUAAUACUGGAUACUACCUCUUACCGCAUGGUGGGUGGUGGAAAGGGUUUUACUGGUUUUGGAUGGGCUCACGGCCUAUCAGCUUGUUGGUGGGGUAAUGGCUCACCAAGGCGACGACGGGUAGCCGGCCUGAGAGGGUGACCGGCCACACUGGGACUGAGACACGGCCCAGACUCCUACGGGAGGCAGCAGUGGGGAAUAUUGCACAAUGGGCGGAAGCCUGAUGCAGCGACGCCGCGUGAGGGAUGACGGCCUUCGGGUUGUAAACCUCUUUCAGUAGGGAAGAAGCGAGAGUGACGGUACCUGCAGAAGAAGCGCCGGCUAACUACGUGCCAGCAGCCGCGGUAAUACGUAGGGCGCAAGCGUUGUCCGGAAUUAUUGGGCGUAAAGAGCUCGUAGGCGGUUUGUCGCGUCUGCUGUGAAAGCCCGGGGCUCAACCCCGGGUCUGCAGUGGGUACGGGCAGACUAGAGUGCAGUAGGGGAGACUGGAAUUCCUGGUGUAGCGGUGAAAUGCGCAGAUAUCAGGAGGAACACCGAUGGCGAAGGCAGGUCUCUGGGCUGUUACUGACGCUGAGGAGCGAAAGCAUGGGGAGCGAACAGGAUUAGAUACCCUGGUAGUCCAUGCCGUAAACGUUGGGCACUAGGUGUGGGGGACAUUCCACGUUUUCCGCGCCGUAGCUAACGCAUUAAGUGCCCCGCCUGGGGAGUACGGCCGCAAGGCUAAAACUCAAAGGAAUUGACGGGGGCCCGCACAAGCGGCGGAGCAUGCGGAUUAAUUCGAUGCAACGCGAAGAACCUUACCAAGGCUUGACAUUCACCGGACCGCCCCAGAGAUGGGGUUUCCCUUCGGGGCUGGUGGACAGUGGUGCAUGGGUUGUCGUCAGCUCGUGUCGUGAGAUGUUGGGUUAAGUCCCGCAACGAG
This 1044-nucleotide ribosomal RNA is filed under the name Kocuria rosea. Its description in RNAcentral is "bacterial SSU rRNA". It matches the Rfam family "Bacterial small subunit ribosomal RNA", at positions 38 to 1096 of the family's 1533-position model. The record is from RNAcentral. RNAcentral also lists the same sequence under 1 other name. Lineage: Bacteria; Bacillati; Actinomycetota; Actinomycetes; Micrococcales; Micrococcaceae.